Molecule: ribosomal RNA, 490 nt
Filed under: uncultured bacterium
Lineage: Bacteria
Description: partial 16S ribosomal RNA
Rfam family: Bacterial small subunit ribosomal RNA
Source: RNAcentral
AUUGAACGCUGGCGGCAGGCCUAACACAUGCAAGUCGAACGGUAACAGAAAGCAGCUUGCUGCUUUGCUGACGAGUGGCGGACGGGUGAGUAAUGUCUGGGAAACUGCCUGAUGGAGGGGGAUAACUACUGGAAACGGUAGCUAAUACCGCAUAACGUCGCAAGACCAAAGAGGGGGACCUUCGGGCCUCUUGCCAUCGGAUGUGCCCAGAUGGGAUUAGCUUGUUGGUGGGGUAACGGCUCACCAAGGCGACGAUCCCUAGCUGGUCUGAGAGGAUGACCAGCCACACUGGAACUGAGACACGGUCCAGACUCCUACGGGCGGCAGCAGUGGGGCAUAUUGCACAAUGGGCGCAAGCCUGAUGCAGCCAUGCCGCGUGUAUGAAGAAGGCCUUCGGGUUGUAAAGUACUUUCAGCGGGGAGGAAGGGAGUAAAGUUAAUACCUUUGCUCAUUGACGUUACCCGCAGAAGAAGCACCGGCUAACUCCGUG